ACGGAAGGCAGCAGUGGGGAAUAUUGCACAAUGGGCGAAAGCCUGAUGCAGCGACGCCGCGUGAGUGAAGAAGUAUCUCGGUAUGUAAAGCUCUAUCAGCAGGGAAGAAAAUGACGGUACCUGACUAAGAAGCCCCGGCUAACUACGUGCCAGCAGCCGCGGUAAUACGUAGGGGGCAAGCGUUAUCCGGAUUUACUGGGUGUAAAGGGAGCGUAGACGGUUUGGCAAGUCUGAAGUGAAAUGCGGGGGCUCAACUCCUGAACUGCUUUGGAAACUGUCGAACUAGAGUGCAGGAGAGGUAAGUGGAAUUCCUAGUGUAGCGGUGAAAUGCGUAGAUAUUAGGAGGAACACCAGUGGCGAAGGCGGCUUACUGGACUGUAACUGACGUUGAGGCUCGAAAGCGUGGGGAGCAAACAUGAUUAGAUACCCUGGUA
This 434-nucleotide ribosomal RNA is filed under the name uncultured Lachnospiraceae bacterium. RNAcentral's name for it is "partial 16S ribosomal RNA". It matches the Rfam family "Bacterial small subunit ribosomal RNA", at positions 341 to 792 of the family's 1533-position model. Lineage: Bacteria; Bacillati; Bacillota; Clostridia; Lachnospirales; Lachnospiraceae. The record is from RNAcentral.